AAAAAAUCAGACGGAAAGGCUAUGUUUUUAUUAAAAUUUGUGAAAAGGAAAUGGUAGCUGUGGGUGAAGAAACUAAUGGAAGGGCGGACAUAUCAAUGUACAAACUAACACACAUCCAACUCAGUCCCAUUUAUUUGUUUCUUUCAGCUAUAAAUCAAUAAAUUUCCUUGCAAAAACUCUAAAUUUCUAUUAGAUCACCAUUCCAUUUAUCUCCUCGAUACUAUCGGAAUUUAAAUCACCGAUGGAGUCCGCCGCCGUUCUCCGCUCCUUCCAUUGUCAGUCCUCUCUCUACAUAUUUUAAUUGUAUACAUACAUAUUGCUUCCGAAUUUCAGCUUCAAUUUAUGAUAUAUACCUUUACACAGCUUUGCAUUUUAUUUUUUGUUCUACUAUUCAUGUCGUUUUUUAUUUUGAUGAUAAUUAUUGGCUACAUAGCGUUCUGGAAAUUGAAAAAAUAAAAACGGAAUGUGCUAUAUAGUUCUGAUUUUAUCAAGUAGCUUAUGCCAGACGUUUGAAGUUUCUUUUGGCCCUUUAAUUCUUAUUCUGCACUAUUUUAGUUCCAAACUGUAGGAAAGAAUUCUGAAAAUCUUAAUUACCGGCUUGUAAAUGGUUUUAAAUUCCUCAAUUAAUUUGACUUUUUAACUUUGGGAUUUUGAUUUAGGUGAACUAAUUUAUGCUAACUAAUUAAUAAUACAUAAAUCAGUCAGUGUGAACUGUCAAGUUCAGAAAAAUUAGUCAUUUGUGUUCUAAUUUUGUGAACUAUUUUAGAUAAGUCAUCCCUUCUGCUCUAAGUGGAAUAAUGUAAACUUCUCAACAAUUGUACCAUUGUCCAUGUUCUUACUGCACAAGUGUUGCAAAACCGCUACCCACCAUAUUUUGUUUUUAAUUUAUUUCUGUAAGUAACUUCAAAGUGAGUUAAUUGUUCCAAAGGUCAUUGAAUUUAGAUCCA
This 947-nucleotide long non-coding RNA is filed under the name Olea europaea (common olive). RNAcentral describes it as "long non-coding RNA (OEUR_LNC013402)". Lineage: Eukaryota; Viridiplantae; Streptophyta; Magnoliopsida; Lamiales; Oleaceae. The record is from RNAcentral.